RNAcentral lists this non-coding RNA (127 nucleotides) under Catagonus wagneri (Chacoan peccary). Its description in RNAcentral is "U4atac minor spliceosomal RNA (ENSCWAG00000021399.1)". It matches the Rfam family "U4atac minor spliceosomal RNA". From Rfam's summary of the family: U4atac is an essential component of the minor U12-type spliceosome complex which is required for removal of the rarer class of eukaryotic introns (AT-AC, U12-type). Lineage: Eukaryota; Metazoa; Chordata; Mammalia; Artiodactyla; Tayassuidae. The record is from Rfam by way of RNAcentral.
ACCAUCCUUUUCUUGGGGUUGCGCUACUGCCCAAUGAACGCUUAGUGAGGACAGUACUGCUAACGCCUGAACAACACACCCGCACCAGUUAAAGCUCUGCUUUUACCUUGGUGCAAUUUUUGGAAAA